UAAAUUUAGAGUUUAAUCCUGGCUCAGGACGAACGCUGGCGGCGUGCUUAACACAUGCAAGUCGAGCGAUGAAGCUUCCUUCGGGAAGUGGAUUAGCGGCGGACGGGUGAGUAACACGUGGGUAACCUGCCUCAAAGUGGGGGAUAGCCUUCCGAAAGGAAGAUUAAUACCGCAUAAUAUGAGAGAAUCGCAUGAUUUUCUUAUCAAAGAUUUAUUGCUUUGAGAUGGACCCGCGGCGCAUUAGCUAGUUGGUAAGGUAACGGCUUACCAAGGCAACGAUGCGUAGCCGACCUGAGAGGGUGAUCGGCCACAUUGGAACUGAGACACGGUCCAGACUCCUACGGGAGGCAGCAGUGGGGAAUAUUGCGCAAUGGGGGAAACCCUGACGCAGCAACGCCGCGUGGGUGAUGAAGGUCUUCGGAUUGUAAAGCCCUGUUUUCUAGGACGAUAAUGACGGUACUAGAGGAGGAAGCCACGGCUAACUACGUGCCAGCAGCCGCGGUAAUACGUAGGUGGCGAGCGUUGUCCGGAUUUACUGGGCGUAAAGGGUGCGUAGGCGGAUGUUUAAGUGGGAUGUGAAAUCCCCGGGCUUAACCUGGGGGCUGCAUUCCAAACUGGAUAUCUAGAGUGCAGGAGAGGAAAGCGGAAUUCCUAGUGUAGCGGUGAAAUGCGUAGAGAUUAGGAAGAACACCAGUGGCGAAGGCGGCUUUCUGGACUGUAACUGACGCUGAGGCACGAAAGCGUGGGUAGCAAACAGGAUUAGAUACCCUGGUAGUCCACGCCGUAAACGAUGGAUACUAGGUGUAGGGGGUAUCAACUCCCCCUGUGCCGCAGUUAACACAAUAAGUAUCCCGCCUGGGGAGUACGGUCGCAAGAUUAAAACUCAAAGGAAUUGACGGGGGCCCGCACAAGCAGCGGAGCAUGUGGUUUAAUUCGAAGCAACGCGAAGAACCUUACCUGGACUUGACAUCCCUUGCAUAGCCUAGAGAUAGGUGAAGCCCUUCGGGGCAAGGAGACAGGUGGUGCAUGGUUGUCGUCAGCUCGUGUCGUGAGAUGUUAGGUUAAGUCCUGCAACGAGCGCAACCCUUGUUAUUAGUUGCUACCAUUAAGUUGAGCACUCUAAUGAGACUGCCUGGGUAACCAGGAGGAAGGUGGGGAUGACGUCAAAUCAUCAUGCCCCUUAUGUCCAGGGCUACACACGUGCUACAAUGGUAGGUACAAUAAGACGCAAGACCGUGAGGUGGAGCAAAACUUAUAAAACCUAUCUCAGUUCGGAUUGUAGGCUGCAACUCGCCUACAUGAAGCUGGAGUUGCUAGUAAUCGCGAAUCAGAAUGUCGCGGUGAAUACGUUCCCGGGCCUUGUACACACCGCCCGUCACACCAUGAGAGCUGGUAACACCCGAAGUCCGUGAGGUAACCGUAAGGAACCAGCGGCCGAAGGUGGGAUUAGUGAUUGGGGUGAAGUCGUAACAAGGUAGCCGUAGGAGAACCUGCGGCUGGAUCACCUCCUUU
Molecule: ribosomal RNA, 1512 nt
Filed under: Clostridium botulinum
Lineage: Bacteria; Bacillati; Bacillota; Clostridia; Eubacteriales; Clostridiaceae
Description: bacterial SSU rRNA
Rfam family: Bacterial small subunit ribosomal RNA
Source: RNAcentral